RNAcentral lists this ribosomal RNA (1553 nucleotides) under Staphylococcus aureus. RNAcentral describes it as "16S ribosomal RNA". It matches the Rfam family "Bacterial small subunit ribosomal RNA". Lineage: Bacteria; Bacillati; Bacillota; Bacilli; Caryophanales; Staphylococcaceae. The record is from RNAcentral.
UUUAUGGAGAGUUUGAUCCUGGCUCAGGAUGAACGCUGGCGGCGUGCCUAAUACAUGCAAGUCGAGCGAACGGACGAGAAGCUUGCUUCUCUGAUGUUAGCGGCGGACGGGUGAGUAACACGUGGAUAACCUACCUAUAAGACUGGGAUAACUUCGGGAAACCGGAGCUAAUACCGGAUAAUAUUUUGAACCGCAUGGUUCAAAAGUGAAAGACGGUCUUGCUGUCACUUAUAGAUGGAUCCGCGCUGCAUUAGCUAGUUGGUAAGGUAACGGCUUACCAAGGCAACGAUGCAUAGCCGACCUGAGAGGGUGAUCGGCCACACUGGAACUGAGACACGGUCCCAGACUCCUACGGGAGGCAGCAGUAGGGAAUCUUCCGCAAUGGGCGAAAGCCUGACGGAGCAACGCCGCGUGAGUGAUGAAGGUCUUCGGAUCGUAAAACUCUGUUAUUAGGGAAGAACAUAUGUGUAAGUAACUGUGCACAUCUUGACGGUACCUAAUCAGAAAGCCACGGCUAACUACGUGCCAGCAGCCGCGGUAAUACGUAGGUGGCAAGCGUUAUCCGGAAUUAUUGGGCGUAAAGCGCGCGUAGGCGGUUUUUUAAGUCUGAUGUGAAAGCCCACGGCUCAACCGUGGAGGGUCAUUGGAAACUGGAAAACUUGAGUGCAGAAGAGGAAAGUGGAAUUCCAUGUGUAGCGGUGAAAUGCGCAGAGAUAUGGAGGAACACCAGUGGCGAAGGCGACUUUCUGGUCUGUAACUGACGCUGAUGUGCGAAAGCGUGGGGAUCAAACAGGAUUAGAUACCCUGGUAGUCCACGCCGUAAACGAUGAGUGCUAAGUGUUAGGGGGUUUCCGCCCCUUAGUGCUGCAGCUAACGCAUUAAGCACUCCGCCUGGGGAGUACGACCGCAAGGUUGAAACUCAAAGGAAUUGACGGGGACCCGCACAAGCGGUGGAGCAUGUGGUUUAAUUCGAAGCAACGCGAAGAACCUUACCAAAUCUUGACAUCCUUUGACAACUCUAGAGAUAGAGCCUUCCCCUUCGGGGGACAAAGUGACAGGUGGUGCAUGGUUGUCGUCAGCUCGUGUCGUGAGAUGUUGGGUUAAGUCCCGCAACGAGCGCAACCCUUAAGCUUAGUUGCCAUCAUUAAGUUGGGCACUCUAAGUUGACUGCCGGUGACAAACCGGAGGAAGGUGGGGAUGACGUCAAAUCAUCAUGCCCCUUAUGAUUUGGGCUACACACGUGCUACAAUGGACAAUACAAAGGGCAGCGAAACCGCGAGGUCAAGCAAAUCCCAUAAAGUUGUUCUCAGUUCGGAUUGUAGUCUGCAACUCGACUACAUGAAGCUGGAAUCGCUAGUAAUCGUAGAUCAGCAUGCUACGGUGAAUACGUUCCCGGGUCUUGUACACACCGCCCGUCACACCACGAGAGUUUGUAACACCCGAAGCCGGUGGAGUAACCUUUUAGGAGCUAGCCGUCGAAGGUGGGACAAAUGAUUGGGGUGAAGUCGUAACAAGGUAGCCGUAUCGGAAGGUGCGGCUGGAUCACCUCCUUU